Long non-coding RNA from Rhinopithecus bieti (black snub-nosed monkey), 723 nucleotides. The record is from Ensembl. Lineage: Eukaryota; Metazoa; Chordata; Mammalia; Primates; Cercopithecidae.
AAGCAUAAUUCUAUGCUUUUCUCCACAUUGAGAGAGUGAGAUGGAACUCAGUUGGAUGUCACCUCCCCUGUUUAGGACAAAGAUCACACUCUGCCUUGAAACCCAGUAAUCAAAAAGAAAAUCCGACAAAGUUGGAGUGAAGUACAGGGAAGCAGGAUCAGUACAGACACUCCCUCUGAGAACUUGGACUUGGGGAAGUAUAAGGCGCCUCCUACUGAGCACACUAGCAGCUACUAAAGACUUUGUGAUCAAAGAUCCUGGACGUGGGGUCAUCCUGUUCUCUCACCACAAGUCGAAUGGCAAGCUGGAGCCUAAAAGUGGCUAUGCCCAAGCUUUCAGUGCUUUUUCUCCUGGGAGAAACUUUGGAAUGAGCACAUCCUCUCAUGACUGAAGCUGUUAUUUAUUGAAGCAGAGAUGCAUUGAUGGAUUCAGCAGCAGUGGACCAAAGUUGAGCUCUGCUGCAGGAUGCUGAAGACCUUGUCAGAUGUGGGCAGCCAGUAGACAGCUGUAAGCCAACCCUUGACCUGAGAGCUCUGCCAUGGUAAUUAGUGUUGUAAAUGAGUCAAGCUUACAGCAGCAUAUGCUCAAAUCUAAUAUAGCAUCUUCCGUCACUAUCUUAGUGUUACGAUGAUCACGACUGUUUUCAGAGUGUGCUAAAAGUAUUUUUAAAGAGUUAACAAAGCAAUAACAAAGAAGCUAGCAACUGCCCACCGCCUUUCCCCC